RNAcentral lists this ribosomal RNA (275 nucleotides) under uncultured bacterium. Its description in RNAcentral is "partial 16S ribosomal RNA". It matches the Rfam family "Bacterial small subunit ribosomal RNA", at positions 338 to 608 of the family's 1533-position model. The record is from RNAcentral.
CCUACGGGUGGCUGCAGUAGGGAAUAUUGGGCAAUGGUCGCAGGACUGACCCAGCCAUGCCGCGUGAAGGAAGAAGGUGUUUUGCAUUGUAAACUUCUUUAGCAAGGGAAGAAUGGCCCACACGGGAUGUGGGAGAUGACGGUACCUUGAGAAUAAGCACCGGCUAACUCCGUGCCAGCAGCCGCGGUAAUACGGGGGGUGCAAGCGUUGUCCGGAUUCAUUGGGUUUAAAGGGUGCGCAGGCGGCAGAUUAAGUCAGUGUUAAAAGACCGGGGC